CUUUGUUGUCCGUUUCUUUCUUCUUUCUUUUUGAUGGCUCCUUACGUGGCUCUUGAAAGCGGCAUGGCAAAGGUGUACUGUCUUCUUUGCUUCAUGUGACUUUUCAACUAAUUCAUUCUGAAGUCCAUAACUGUGAAGAACAUUGUGGCUAAAUCAGGCUGAACACUCCACAGCGCAUGUCUCCCAUCAGGCUGUCGUCUUGGCUGUAAACAUGUUGUUAUUCUCUUCAUGCUAGUGACGGAAAGCAUUCACAUCCCACAAACUGAGCAAUCGCAUUUACUGCGACAGCUGCAUCGAUGUGUCACCGCUGAUUGGAAAACACUCAGUCUCCGACCACAAGCAGUGCACCCGAACAAGUGCACGGCCGAAUCCUCUUUUCUGUGCUUAGUUGGUGCUUAACGCCUGGAUCUGUUCAUAUUACACGUGUUGUGAUGCAAAUAAGUCGUGCUCAAGGUUCAGUCCACCCAAAUAACAAAAGUGAAUCAUUUUCACACUUCUUUACAAUGCUACGUUUCUGAACUUAGUUUCAUCUGCCUAGAUGUUGAGAUAUGAUUUUAUUUUCCUGUCUCCACCCUAAUAUAAUAUUUCUAGUGGUUUUCCUUCAAAAGACUGUCUACCAAAGAAAUAAUCCUUAUGACAGCUGCAGACAGUGUGUUUUAUGGAUCAUGUGAAAUAAAAGAGUGACUGUUUUUGUUUUUUUUUUUAGUUUUUGUUUUUAUGAAACCCACAACAGAUAUUCCAUUCUCUUUAAGCAUUCAGAGUUGGAUGCUGAUAUCUCAGAACCUGGCUAAUAAAACCAAAACCAUCUGAAUGGCUAAAUAUGACAGGUAGCAAAUAAAUACAUUUGGCUGAACUAAUCCUUUAAAGCAUUAAAAAGUGGUUCUUCCACUGAGGAGUAAAACCUUCCUUUUGUUUGCAGUCUUGCUAAUGAGUAAAUCAAUUGGCUGCAGUCCAGUUUUGCUCAGAAAGAGCAGCCAAACUGUGGAAAAGAAUUUUCUCUAUCACACAAUGAAGCGAGCGCCACCUCAGCAAAGCGACUAAUUCAGUUAAGCAGCAGUUUCAAAGCAGCGCUGCAUGUGAAAUAGUGGAAACAUUUGUAAUAAAGACCAGGAAGCGCUUCUGUAAACAUGUCAGGCUUUAUUGCACAAAUGUGUCUGGAAUGUAUCUGAGAGAUGUGUGUCAUAACUCUUGUGAAUGCCUUCCAGGACAGAUUGCCGGCUUGGGGGUAGGUGUGGGACACGUCUGGUCCAGGAGUCCACAUGUUGUGACAGGGCAGAUCAAAAAGAUGAAAGUCGGUGUAGCAGCGCGGAGACAGAUGGACGCUGUGACACAUACGUUCACGAAAAGUCAGGCAAACAGACAGGCUGACACCUGGCUGCAGAUCAAAUGCCAUCAGAAACUGGAGGAGAGGGAUGAGUGUUUGUGUUUGUGUGUGACAGACAACAAGAUGUGGCCAAAAGUAUACAGUCGUCUCUGUCAGCACAUGGUCUGGGUUCGGCUCCUUUAGUUCCAAAUACGGGAAAUCUUAAAGCCCCUGAAACCCAAACUAUUUCUAUAUCAUGACGAUAUAUGCAACAGUCAAAGUAAACAUAUGAAUAGGCACUAUUUAUUAAGAAUCUGAAACAGCAAAACUCAUCGGAUAAUUCUAAAUCCUGACUGGUGAAGAAGUAUAUGACAUCACUUUUUCUAACUUAGUCCCACUCUGUUCAAGCCAGUAACAAAACCUGAAAUAAACUAGAAGAAACAGGAAUUUUCCAAAACUGUGCUGACGUUGGUAGAAAAUAGUGUGUCUAUGCAUAGAAAGAGGCAGAUUGGAAAAUAAAUUUGAGCAUUUAACGUACUAUUUUAGACUGCAGCCCCCACACAGAGAGGUGUAAUGUUUGGUCAUCUGUAUGCUCUUGCCCAUGUUUGUUGUGUAGGUUGAUUCGUUUUUGUGCGGUUUGCGUGCAGUCGGCUUUGUAAGUCGAGGUUCCCUGCAAUUCUCAGAAACUUGCCGCUCCUUUGCAGCCCAACCUGAGUUGAGACAGACACAGAGAACGAGGGUGACUGGGUUAGAAAAAAGCAAAUGAAGGGGAGGGGAGACUAAGGGAAAAACCUCCAGACGGGUUUGAAUUCCCCACAAUCAGAAAGAGAGACCGAGAUGGAAAGAGGGAGGGAGUGAUCCUUACAAUCACAGACUUUCCACAUUUAGAGCGUCUCCCCUUUUUGUUUUGGUUUGCACUUAGGCUUUUAUGUGAAGUCAAUCGAUGUGUCUUUCCUUUCUGGGGUUUGGUUUUAAAAGUUUUAAUAUUGCUUUUGGUGUAGGUCUGAGAAACAGAGAGGGGCAGGUAAUGAGUGUCUCUGUUUUUCUAUUUGACUUUGUUUUUGUACUUUUUUAUUUGUAAUUUUAUCCACUUGGCAGCUUCAUAUUUACUAUCUUUUUAAGGCGGUGAGUGUGUGUGUGUGUGUGUGUGUGUGUGUGUGUGUGUGUGUGUGUGUGUGUGUGUGUGUGUGUGUGUGUGUGUGUGUGUGUCUGUCUGUGUCUGUGUGUGUGUGUGUGUGUGUGUGUGUGUGUGUGUGUGUGUGUGAGCUCACAAGUACUGUCUCAGCCUACUGCUAGAUAGACUUCUACUCCACCUCACAGAUCUUUUACCUCCUCCGAUGACGUAAAGGGGACGUCAUACUGUGGCGGCCAUCUUGUUUUGUUGUUUUUGUGACAUCAUCUUUUCCUCGUGACCUUAACAGCAUCACCUCUUGUUCUGAUAUAUUCUUACACUGUUUUUCUUUGAGGUUUUUUUUUACGCACACAAGGCAGUUGCAGUCACAGAUAACCACACACACAUGCAUACAUUCGCACAAUGACGCACAAACACAUACACACAGUGCAGUCUGUUUUUUUUUUUUUUUUUUUUCUUUUUGGUCUGAUAGCGGCCUUGUUCUCUGCUGGUCAAACAGUCAGACUACUGUAGGCGCUCUGUUUGAGCCCUCGCUGUUAUGUGAUCGCUAUGAAGGCUCACCAUUGUGUGACCAAAAAACAUUUUUGUCAUCGUUCAGCUACUCAGAACCAGUUAGGGCCGGAGUCAUGACCCGAGAGCAGCCCAGGAUACAGAAGAAGAAAAGAAACUGCCAUUUUUGCCCUCCUCUUUUCUUUUAGUCUUCUGAGUCUGUCACACAGCAAAGUGGUGCUGGUUUGAUGCUUUUCCGUGCUUCUGUUAUCACUGAUAUCCUCUGUGUGUUUUUUCCCCUCCAAAUAGACAAAGAUGUCAAAAAACUAAAAUAUAUAUAUUUGGGAAAAAGCUUUUUAUUUGAGUUGCAUGCUGAACUACACAGAGUAAUUCUGCCUGUAAAACUAUGACUUGCACCUUAUUGGAGGGAUGUGCUUUUUUUGGUUUUUUAAUGCAUACAUAAAUAUAUAUAUGGGGGAUGUAUCAUGUUUUAUUUUUGAUUUUGAUAAAGGAUGUAAUUGUUAGCUAGUCAGGCAAUGUAUGUAUCUUAAACAGGGUUCUGAUUUUUUUUUAAAUGCUUAAUAAUGCUGAGUUUCACUAUAACUGAUCAGUCACUGGUUUUUGUUGUAGGACGACUUCACUAAGCAGAAACUGAUCCUGGUGAGCAUGAAAAAGCCCAGCAGAUUUCCAAAAAUAUUUGUUUUCAAAACAGGAUUUUUCAGUCUUUACUCCAUAAAACUGGGAAUUCUUUGAUUCUUUAAGAUGAGACACAAAUUGACAAAGUGUUUAUCCAAGAAUAUUGAUGAAUUCUCUGCCAACUGGAGAAUUCUGCUUUUAAGAAUGAAGUAAAACAAUCAUGGUGACAGCUGCCGCUUAGUGAAGCAUCGUCUGCAUGUCCUCAUACACACACUGGCCUGUCCUCACACGGUGACCACUAGGAGGCGAUCUGCUGGUCCUCCCAAAUACCACAUGUCCGCACUCACUUCCUCCGCCUUCCGUCCAGCUUGUCCUUGGAAAAGGACAAAAAACACUGACAAAAGACACCAUGUUGUUCACACACAGACACACAACAGUACAGUCUUGGCAGAUGAGUGGCGCUCGGUGUGGUGCUGCCACCCGCUCUAAUGUCCCCAGGGCAGAGUACUGUCUGCAGCCAAUUAACCAACAGGGCUGUUUGCCAGUUCCAUAUCCAUCUAAUCCUCUCCACCCACCCGCCGGUUUGCUGAAUAAGCCCUCCACUUCUUUAUAGACUUUGUUGUGUUAAAAAGAGAAAAAAAAAUAAUACGGUUUACAAUGGGAGAGGGAUAGUGAAAGUAGGUUAGUUGUUUUGGUGUAUCUCUAUUGGAUAAAAUCCUGGUGGAACAAAAUGGGUUGCAGCACUUUGUCUUUUAUUUUAUAAAUGGUGAGAUCACACCAUUCCCCCGUAAAAAAACAAAAACAGUCACCCCUUUUCAGGAACACAUUUCCAAAAGCUAUCAAGAGCAGAAAGAGGAUUACUGGACAUUACUGUUUUAUUUUUGACAGUGGCAACAUAUGAGCGAGCCCUGCUACAUAUUGUGAUAUCAUACAAUAACACAACCUGUAUCCCCUGCCUCCCUCUGUCCCCAUGCACUGAUAAUGAUUGUAAAUGGUCGCAUAGUUUUAUUUUUUAUAUCAUUGUUGGGGCUUUGUUUUGUUUCUGGGGUUGUCUUUUUUUUUAGUUUUGUGCUGUUAUUUUGAAAUGGUUUGAUGGGUCUCUGUGGGGAAGAGUGUGUGUGUGUGUGUGUGUGUGUGUGUGUGUGGGUGUGUGGGUGGGUGGGUGGGUGUGUGUGUACUGUAGCUUACUGUAUGUGUGCGUGACAGACGAGUAAAAGAGAUUGGAUGCGUUGUUUAGUGGCUCUGUGUUCAGCUCCCAGUACACAUCAGCCCUUUGCCUGUGUUCAUCAUUGUGCCAGUGUGUUCAGGUGUUCCCUUGCGCCUACAUUCGUUCAUCCAAAUGAAGAGAAAAGCAACUGGAGAUGAAGAGGAGAAGGCAGACUGCCUUUUCCCUCAGGGGAAAAAAAAAAACACAUGCGAGAAGAUACUUUUGAAAAAAGGAUAUUUUUCUCCUCUGUGGGGUCACAAAGAAGAGUGUACAUUUCUAAGUUAACUGAAAAUGAUGAAUAAAAAAAAUCAUUUGUUCUCAAUAUGAAUGGCUGUAUGUUAACCAUGAACAAAAAGUAAUGAGUUCUAUGACAAAGACAUAUAAUAAAUUAAUUUUAAAAUUUUAA
Long non-coding RNA from Amphiprion ocellaris (clown anemonefish), 5173 nucleotides. NCBI's taxonomy places the organism in Eukaryota, Metazoa, Chordata, Actinopteri, Pomacentridae. The record is from Ensembl.